Molecule: ribosomal RNA, 819 nt
Filed under: Nocardia farcinica
Lineage: Bacteria; Bacillati; Actinomycetota; Actinomycetes; Mycobacteriales; Nocardiaceae
Description: bacterial SSU rRNA
Rfam family: Bacterial small subunit ribosomal RNA
Source: RNAcentral
CACAUGCAAGUCGAGCGGUAAGGCCCUUCGGGGUACACGAGCGGCGAACGGGUGAGUAACACGUGGGUGAUCUGCCCUGUACUUCGGGAUAAGCCUGGGAAACUGGGUCUAAUACCGGAUAUGACCUUACAUCGCAUGGUGUUUGGUGGAAAGAUUUAUCGGUACAGGAUGGGCCCGCGGCCUAUCAGCUUGUUGGUGGGGUAAUGGCCUACCAAGGCGACGACGGGUAGCCGGCCUGAGAGGGCGACCGGCCACACUGGGACUGAGACACGGCCCAGACUCCUACGGGAGGCAGCAGUGGGGAAUAUUGCACAAUGGGCGAAAGCCUGAUGCAGCGACGCCGCGUGAGGGAUGACGGCCUUCGGGUUGUAAACCUCUUUCGACAGGGACGAAGCGCAAGUGACGGUACCUGUAGAAGAAGCACCGGCCAACUACGUGCCAGCAGCCGCGGUAAUACGUAGGGUGCGAGCGUUGUCCGGAAUUACUGGGCGUAAAGAGCUUGUAGGCGGUUUGUCGCGUCGUCCGUGAAAACUUGGGGCUCAACCCCAAGCUUGCGGGCGAUACGGGCAGACUUGAGUACUGCAGGGGAGACUGGAAUUCCUGGUGUAGCGGUGAAAUGCGCAGAUAUCAGGAGGAACACCGGUGGCGAAGGCGGGUCUCUGGGCAGUAACUGACGCUGAGAAGCGAAAAGCGUGGGUAGCGAACAGGAUUAGAUACCCUGGUAGUCCACGCCGUAAACAGUGGGGCGCUAGGUGUGGGUUUCCUUCCACGGGAUCCGUGCCGUUAGCUAACGCAUUAAGCGCCCCGCCUGGGGAGUAC